This 736-nucleotide long non-coding RNA is filed under the name Canis lupus familiaris (dog). RNAcentral's name for it is "lncRNA (ENSCAFG00000033077.3, ENSCAFG00845021554.1)". The record is from RNAcentral. Lineage: Eukaryota; Metazoa; Chordata; Mammalia; Carnivora; Canidae.
GUCGUAGAUGUAAAAUUACCUCUAAACCAUCCUGACUGAGGAGACUCUUACAGUGAGAAGAAGAGAUGUUAGGCUGUAACAAUAGGAGACCUCAUCUGCAAUGCAAAUCAGCAACCAGCAGGCAAAUGAAUCCUUAUGGGAAAACCACUCUAAUCAUAAAAACCACUUGCUUUGGGGAGACUGCAAUGUAAGGACAAGCAAAAUCAUAGCUCCAUGAAUCCCCUCUAAUAUAGGAUAUUAGAGAAUUAUCCAGAAUACUGAACAAAUAGAACAACUUUUCAUGAAAAUAGACUAUGAAUCAAUGGGCAGAAUUCAAUGGGAUGGCUUCUGCACGUAUUUGCAGCUAGAGUAUUCAGAGCAAGUGGAUGCUUUGGCCCAAGAGAAAGAGGUUUCCUUCCAGCUGCCUGCUGCGCUGCAAGGGCUGUCAUAUGGGGGUCCCGUGCUGCGCAUUCUCUCUAUGCCUGACGACACCGUAAUCAUGAUCAGAGAAGAUGGAGCGAUUUAUUUCUGGUCCCUGCAGCUGAAGUUGAAAAGAAGAAAGAGAGUUUUUGACAAGUCCAUGAGUUGGAAGCCCAGGUCGAUGACAGAUGUCAUCGGCAUGCCACAGUACAACAAACUGAUCAUAGGGACUAGAAACCGUGAAAUCCAGCUAUGUGAAUUCUCCAACUGGGAGCCUUACUGUCAGAUCAGUGGCUUAGAAGGUGUUCCUCUGAAACUGGACUACUGGGAUGCAUGA